RNAcentral lists this ribosomal RNA (320 nucleotides) under uncultured eukaryote. RNAcentral describes it as "partial 18S ribosomal RNA". It matches the Rfam family "Eukaryotic small subunit ribosomal RNA", at positions 1470 to 1796 of the family's 1831-position model. The record is from RNAcentral.
CCCUUAGAUGUUCUGGGCCGCACGCGCGCUACACUGAUUCAUGCAACGAGUUUUGUCCUUGGCUGAAAGGCCUGGGUAAUCUUUGAACGUGAAUCGUGCUGGGGAUAGAUGAUUGCAAUUAUUCAUCUUCAACGAGGAAUUCCUAGUAAACGCAAGUCAUCAGCUUGCAUUGAUUACGUCCCUGCCCUUUGUACACACCGCCCGUCGCACCUACCGAUUGAAUGGUCCGGUGAAAUCUCGGGACGGCGGCUUGGUCGCUUGCGUCCGACUGCUGAAACUUGAUUAAACCAUAUCAUUUAGAGGAAGGUGAAGUCGUAACA